Non-coding RNA from Echinops telfairi (small Madagascar hedgehog), 408 nucleotides. Lineage: Eukaryota; Metazoa; Chordata; Mammalia; Afrosoricida; Tenrecidae. The record is from the annotation of a RefSeq genome assembly.
AUGCUCCGACUGCUCAUCCUAGUACUUGGGAUGGCUUUUAACCUGAGAGAUGCCCGUGCGCAGUCAGUGACCCAGCCUGAUGUCCACAUCUCUGUCUUUGAAGAUGCCCUACUGGAGUUGAGAUGCAACUAUUCCUACGGUGGUGUCCCUUCCCUCUAUUGGUACGUCAAAUACCCCAACGAAAGCCUCCAGCUUCUCCUCAAGUACCUUUCAGGAGACACCCUGGUGAAAGGCAUCAAAGAUUUUGAGGCUGAACUUAAGAAAAGCGAGUCUUCCUUCAACUUGAGGAAGCAGUUUGCUCACUGGACCGACUCUGCGGAGUACUUUUGUGCUGUGAGUGCCACAGUGCUGGGACUGCAGGGGGAGCUGAACACAAACUCCCUGAGGCACUGGGGAGGAUUCGUCUAG